RNAcentral lists this ribosomal RNA (253 nucleotides) under uncultured bacterium. RNAcentral describes it as "partial 16S ribosomal RNA". It matches the Rfam family "Bacterial small subunit ribosomal RNA", at positions 524 to 776 of the family's 1533-position model. The record is from RNAcentral.
UACGUAGUGGGCAAGCGUUGUCCGGAAUCAUUGGGCGUAAAGCGCGUGUAGGCGGCUCGGUAAGUCUGCUCUGAAAGCCUGGGGCUCAACCCUGGGAGGCGGGUGGAUACUGCUGAGCUCGAGUCCGGAAGAGGCGAGUGGAAUUCCUGGUGUAGCGGUGAAAUGCGCAGAUAUCAGGAGGAACACCAAUGGCGAAGGCAGCUCGCUGGGACGUGACUGACGCUGAGACGCGAACGCGUGGGGAGCAAACAGG